AACGAACGCUGGCGGCGUGGAUAAGACAUGCAAGUCGAACGAAACUAUCAGAGUAGCAAUACAAUGAUAGUUCAGUGGCGAACGGGUGCGUAACACGUGGAUACAUUCCGGGAAGCGGGGGAUAGCCCAGGGAAACUUGGAUUAAUACCGCAUGUGGUCGAAAGACUAAAGACGGGGACCGCAAGGCCUGUCACUUCCCGAUUGGUCCGCGGCCUAUCAGCUAGUUGGCGGGGUAAAAGCCCACCAAGGCUACGACGGGUAGCUGGUCUUAGAGGACGACCAGCCACACUGGAACUGAGACACGGUCCAGACACCUACGGGUGGCAGCAGUCGAGAAUCUUUCACAAUGGGGGCAACCCUGAUGGAGCGACGCCGCGUGGAGGAUAAGGGUCUUCGGAUUGUAAACUCCUGUCAUGCGCGAACAAGGUUGUAGAGUUAAUAACUUUGCAAAUUGAUGGUACCGCAAGAGGAAGAGACGGCUAAACUCUGUGCCAGCAGCCGCGGU
Molecule: ribosomal RNA, 505 nt
Filed under: uncultured bacterium
Lineage: Bacteria
Description: bacterial SSU rRNA
Rfam family: Bacterial small subunit ribosomal RNA
Source: RNAcentral